UUCUCCCCCCUCCUCCCCCCUCCCUAACCAUCAAGUCUUUGGCAUCAUUAUCCUCUUCACUAAAUCCUACUGGAUACAAGGCGGAAAACGGUGAACAC
RNAcentral lists this long non-coding RNA (98 nucleotides) under Phascolarctos cinereus (koala). RNAcentral describes it as "ZEB2 antisense RNA 1 conserved region 3 (ENSPCIG00000011421.2)". It matches the Rfam family "ZEB2 antisense RNA 1 conserved region 3". Lineage: Eukaryota; Metazoa; Chordata; Mammalia; Diprotodontia; Phascolarctidae. The record is from RNAcentral.